AACAGUGUGUUACUGGCGAUCAUUGGAUCAGCAAAAGCAGACUCCAGUGAUGCUUGUCUUACUGAGAUACAUGACCUCAGCAUCUCUGUGAGCCAAUGAAAACAUUAAAAGACUGACUUCUACAAUCUUCCAGGAGUGAAUGUCAACACCAUGGAGUUCCAUCACCUGCCAAACGUUUAACAGCAGCAGCAGAUUAUGGCCCACAAACUGUUGACUGCUCAGCUUCCAGGAAUAAAUGUCAUCAGCUUUCAUGAUAUUUUGAAUAUAAUUGAUUAUUGACACCAUUAUCAAUAUAAAUUGUGGCCAAAGAAGUCAAUCAGAUGCACCUAAUAAAGUUAAAUGCACUAAAACAUGAAUAUCCCAGAUGGCUGAAUCCUUGAACAGAUAAUUAAGGUUGAGCUUUAAUUCCUUUCACUGGGAUUCAUCACUUCCUUAUAAAAUUUCAUUUUCUUGGUUGUUCAAUAGAAGAGUGACAAGAGGACACCACUGCUAUUCUCCAGAUUUUAGAGAAGAACAAAUGAACUUUUUUUUAACACAAUGAAGAGACAGCACCAACAUAUCUUGAACUUGGCAGAUGGAACUAGGCUACUGAUACUCUUUUAGUAAGGGGCAUGAAUGAAGCUGGAAACCAUCAUCCUCAUCAAGGUAGCACAGGAACAGAAAACCAAACACCGCUUUGGGUAUAUUUUUUAAGCAGCAACAAGAGAUUCAAUCACAAAUGAGUGGGAGAUGAUGAUUCCAAAGAUAAAAGAUAACCUAAUGUUCAAACUCCCAGAAAGCGGUGAAAUUCUGGGAGAAUUAACUUUGUAAAGGAGGGGACAAAGGGGAGCAAUAUUUUGUUCUGAGUAGGAUGAGAUACUAUUAACUUGGGAAAAGAAGUGAACAAGCAUGGUUGUAAGACAGGGAAUGCAAGAAUUUUCUGUUAAAUUAGGAAUUGAUAAUGAAAAAGAUAGAAAAAGAAUUGACAGUUUGAGAAAUGAAGAUACAGUUUA
Gorilla gorilla gorilla (western lowland gorilla) is the source of this 992-nucleotide long non-coding RNA. RefSeq lists it as uncharacterized. NCBI's taxonomy places the organism in Eukaryota, Metazoa, Chordata, Mammalia, Primates, Hominidae. The transcript is spliced from 5 exons. The record is from RefSeq and is a predicted model, not a curated record.